RNAcentral lists this ribosomal RNA (1355 nucleotides) under uncultured bacterium. RNAcentral describes it as "bacterial SSU rRNA". It matches the Rfam family "Bacterial small subunit ribosomal RNA", at positions 28 to 1381 of the family's 1533-position model. The record is from RNAcentral.
AUUGAACGCUGGCGGCAGGCUUAACACAUGCAAGUCGAACGAUGACUCUCUAGCUUGCUAGAGAAGAUUAGUGGCGGACGGGUGAGUAACAUUUAGGAAUCUGCCUAGUAGUGGGGGAUAGCUCGGGGAAACUCGAAUUAAUACCGCAUACGACCUACGGGUGAAAGGGGGCGCAAGCUCUUGCUAUUAGAUGAGCCUAAAUCAGAUUAGCUAGUUGGUGGGGUAAAGGCCCACCAAGGCGACGAUCUGUAACUGGUCUGAGAGGAUGAUCAGCCACACCGGAACUGAGACACGGUCCGGACUCCUACGGGAGGCAGCAGUGGGGAAUAUUGGACAAUGGGGGCAACCCUGAUCCAGCCAUGCCGCGUGUGUGAAGAAGGCCUUUUGGUUGUAAAGCACUUUAAGCAGGGAGGAGAGGCUAAUGGUUAAUACCCAUUAGAUUAGACGUUACCUGCAGAAUAAGCACCGGCUAACUCUGUGCCAGCAGCCGCGGUAAUACAGAGGGUGCGAGCGUUAAUCGGAAUUACUGGGCGUAAAGCGAGUGUAGGUGGCUCAUUAAGUCACAUGUGAAAUCCCCGGGCUUAACCUGGGAACUGCAUGUGAUACUGGUGGUGCUAGAAUAUGUGAGAGGGAAGUAGAAUUCCGGGUGUAGCGGUGAAAUGCGUAGAGAUCUGGAGGAAUACCGAUGGCGAAGGCAGCUUCCUGGCAUAAUAUUGACACUGAGAUUCGAAAGCGUGGGUAGCAAACAGGAUUAGAUACCCUGGUAGUCCACGCCGUAAACGAUGUCUACUAGCCGUUGGGGUCCUUGAGACUUUAGUGGCGCAGUUAACGCGAUAAGUAGACCGCCUGGGGAGUACGGCCGCAAGGUUAAAACUCAAAUGAAUUGACGGGGGCCCGCACAAGCGGUGGAGCAUGUGGUUUAAUUCGAUGCAACGCGAAGAACCUUACCUGGUCUUGACAUAGUGAGAAUCUUUCAGAGAUGAGAGAGUGCCUUCGGGAAUUCACAUACAGGUGCUGCAUGGCUGUCGUCAGCUCGUGUCGUGAGAUGUUGGGUUAAGUCCCGCAACGAGCGCAACCCUUUUCCUUAUUUGCCAGCGGGUUAAGCCGGGAACUUUAAGGAUACUGCCAGUGACAAACUGGAGGAAGGCGGGGACGACGUCAAGUCAUCAUGGCCCUUACGACCAGGGCUACACACGUGCUACAAUGGUAGGUACAGAGGGUUGCUACACAGCGAUGUGAUGCUAAUCUCAAAAAGCCUAUCGUAGUCCGGAUUGGAGUCUGCAACUCGACUCCAUGAAGUCGGAAUCGCUAGUAAUCGCAGAUCAGAAUGCUGCGGUGAAUACGUUCCCGGGCCU